Molecule: ribosomal RNA, 555 nt
Filed under: Salmonella enterica subsp. diarizonae
Lineage: Bacteria; Pseudomonadati; Pseudomonadota; Gammaproteobacteria; Enterobacterales; Enterobacteriaceae
Description: partial 23S ribosomal RNA
Rfam family: Bacterial large subunit ribosomal RNA
Source: RNAcentral
GGGUUGUGAGGUUAAGCGACCAAGCGUACACGGUGGAUGCCCUGGCAGUCAGAGGCGAUGAAGGACGUGCUAAUCUGCGAAAAGCGCCGGUAAGGUGAUAUGAACCGUUAUAACCGGCGAUGUCCGAAUGGGGAAACCCAGUGUGACUCGUCACACUAUCAUUAACUGAAUCCAUAGGUUAAUGAGGCGAACCGGGGGAACUGAAACAUCUAAGUACCCCGAGGAAAAGAAAUCAACCGAGAUUCCCCCAGUAGCGGCGAGCGAACGGGGAGGAGCCCAGAGCCUGAAUCAGCAUGUGUGUUAGUGGAAGCGUCUGGAAAGGCGCGCGAUACAGGGUGAGAGCCCCGUACACAAAAGCGCACAUGCUGUGAGCUCGAUGAGUAGGGCGGGACACGUGGUAUCCUGUCUGAAUAUGGGGGGACCAUCCUCCAAGGCUAAAUACUCCUGACUGACCGAUAGUGAACCAGUACCGUGAGGGAAAGGCGAAAAGAACCCCGGCGAGGGGAGUGAAACAGAACCUGAAACCGUGUACGUACAAGCAGUGGGAGCCCCACC